This 233-nucleotide unclassified non-coding RNA is filed under the name Hevea brasiliensis (rubber tree). Lineage: Eukaryota; Viridiplantae; Streptophyta; Magnoliopsida; Malpighiales; Euphorbiaceae. The record is from RNAcentral.
GGAGCGGGAAUUUACUUUAUAUGUCUCUUCAAUCUCUAAUGAACUCAAGGUACCCGUAAGAUACUUGAAGGAGGACAAACCGCAUGGUUCUGCUGGUGGUCUUUAUUAUUUUAGAGACAUAAUCAUGGAAGACAGUCCNNNNNNNNCAUAUCUUUCUACUGAAUUGUGAUGUUUGCUGUAGUUUUCCAUUGCCAGAUAUGCUUCAGGCACAUAAAAAAUAUGGUGGGAUGGGG